AACAUCGCCUCUUGCUCAAAAAGUAUAAGAGGUCCCGCCUGCCCUGUGACAAAAAGUUUAACGGCCGCGGUAUCUUGACCGUGCGAAGGUAGCGAAAUCACUUGUUUCUUAAAUGGAGACCUGUAUGAAUGGCAUAACGAGGGCCAACCUGUCUCCUUCUCCUAGUCAAUGAAAUUGAUCUCCCCGUGCAGAAGCGGGGAUAAAAACAUAAGACGAGAAGACCCUUUGGAGCUUUAGACUUCAAGCAGACCAUGCUAAUUAAGACAAACAAAAGAACUUAAGCCAAUUGGAUACCUGCCCUUAUGUCUUCGGUUGGGGCGACCACGGGGAAACAAAAAACCCCCACGAGGAACAGGAGAACUCUUCUCCCAGAACUAAGACUGACAAGUCCAAGUACCAGAACUUCUGACCAAAUGAUCCGGCAAAGCCGAUUAACGAACCAAGUUACCCUAGGGAUAACAGCGCAAUCCCCUUUUAGA
This 479-nucleotide ribosomal RNA is filed under the name Fodiator acutus (sharpchin flyingfish). RNAcentral's name for it is "partial 16S ribosomal RNA". It matches the Rfam family "Bacterial large subunit ribosomal RNA", at positions 1812 to 2497 of the family's 2925-position model. The record is from RNAcentral. Lineage: Eukaryota; Metazoa; Chordata; Actinopteri; Beloniformes; Exocoetidae.